Molecule: ribosomal RNA, 449 nt
Filed under: Tethya citrina
Lineage: Eukaryota; Metazoa; Porifera; Demospongiae; Tethyida; Tethyidae
Description: partial 28S ribosomal RNA
Source: RNAcentral
GAGAGUCAAAAAGACCGCAAAACCGUUAGGAGGGAAGCGAAUGCAGCUGAAGUAGCUCCCCUUCAGGUUCAGGAAGUGUCGGAUCGGCUUGCUGGCCGGCGGUAGCCGUAUGGCGCUGGCGGUUGGACGGCUGGCCGACUACUCUGCACUCCUGGGGGGAGCUGGCCAACAACAGUUGCUUCCGGCUCAUCAGGGCGGUUGGGCAGGUAGCCACCUCACUCGAGGUGGAACUUACAGCCAUCCGUCUGGUAGUCUGGAGGCGACUGAGGAGAGAUGUGAACUUUCACACCCGCAGCGCAGGCCCUUCUGGGCCGGGCCGCCUCUUUCCGUUUGGGCACCGCUCCGGGGACUGCUUGCAGUGUCCGCUGACGAAUGUCUGCUCGGUCGGGGGAAUGGUCACGCCUUGCGCUGCAGUUGUUGGUGUCCAAAUGGCUGCAUCCGACCCGUCU